AAGGUUUUAAGUUAAAAAUAAACUAUUAAUCUUCAAAAUUAAAAAUAUUAUAAUUUUAAUAAAUCUUA
Molecule: transfer RNA, 68 nt
Filed under: Bombus schrencki
Lineage: Eukaryota; Metazoa; Arthropoda; Insecta; Hymenoptera; Apidae
Description: tRNA-Trp
Source: RNAcentral